GCAGUCGAGCGGAUGAAGGAGCUUGCUCCUGGAUUCAGCGGCGGACGGGUGAGUAAUGCCUAGGAAUCUGCCUGGUAGUGGGGGACAACGUUUCGAAAGGAACGCUAAUACCGCAUACGUCCUACGGGAGAAAGCAGGGGACCUUCGGGCCUUGCGCUAUCAGAUGAGCCUAGGUCGGAUUAGCUAGUUGGUGAGGUAAUGGCUCACCAAGGCGACGAUCCGUAACUGGUCUGAGAGGAUGAUCAGUCACACUGGAACUGAGACACGGUCCAGACUCCUACGGGAGGCAGCAGUGGGGAAUAUUGGACAAUGGGCGAAAGCCUGAUCCAGCCAUGCCGCGUGUGUGAAGAAGGUCUUCGGAUUGUAAAGCACUUUAAGUUGGGAGGAAGGGUUGUAGAUUAAUACUCUGCAAUUUUGACGUUACCGACAGAAUAAGCACCGGCUAACUCUGUGCCAGCAGCCGCGGUAAUACAGAGGGUGCAAGCGUUAAUCGGAAUUACUGGGCGUAAAGCGCGCGUAGGUGGUUCGUUAAGUUGGAUGUGAAAUCCCCGGGCUCAACCUGGGAACUGCAUCCAAAACUGGCGAGCUAGAGUAUGGUAGAGGGUGGGUGGGAAUUUCCUGUGUAGCGGUGAAAUGCGUAGAUAUAGGAAAGGAACACCAGUGGCGAAAGCGACCACCUGGACUGAUACUGACACUGAGU
This 700-nucleotide ribosomal RNA is filed under the name Pseudomonas sp. RNAcentral describes it as "bacterial SSU rRNA". It matches the Rfam family "Bacterial small subunit ribosomal RNA", at positions 57 to 751 of the family's 1533-position model. The record is from RNAcentral. Lineage: Bacteria; Pseudomonadati; Pseudomonadota; Gammaproteobacteria; Pseudomonadales; Pseudomonadaceae.